CACGCCCUCCCAUCUCUCCCUCCUUCCUGCCGUCCCCCGCCUGAGGGAGGGGAGCGGUGCAGCAGACAUCCGAGGGCAGCUGGGACCCCCUGACUCAGCCGACGGGUGAGUCAGGCUCCCUGCAGGCCACACCGGACCCCCCCAGGGCGGGGAUUUCCCCAAGAUGAGAAAUCAGCCACCGGAAGUCACGCCGGACCUUGGACGGGCAGACAGAGGCUGGGAGGAGUUCUGGGUGCAGAGCCCCCCAACCUGUGCUCUCAUCUCUUGCUCUGGGGUAAGCCAGUGGCCAUGCUAUAAGGACACUCAAGCCACCCUAUGAAGAAGCCCACAUGAAGAGGAACUGAGAUAUCUGGCCAACAGCCAGCCAGUCACUGAGCCUGCCAACCACGCUGUGGCAGGUACCUCCAGCCCCAGACACCUGCAGCCUCCACUGAAAGCUCAAUGGCAGCCUCAUGAGACCCUGGACCGGAACCACCCAACGAAGCGGCUCCUGUAUUCCUGAUUGACAGAAACUACGGGAUCAUAAAUGCUUGCUGUUCAGUCUGCCAAGUGUUGGCGUGAUUUGUUAAACAGCAACCAGUAACUAAUACGCCACCCAUGGCUGCCGCGUUCCUGCUGUGGGGCCAGCACUAUUCCAUGCUUAGAGGCUCCAUCAAUACCUGUGAUGGACUAAAUGGUCAGUACAAACAACAGCUCCUCUGUAAUGGUAUGAGGCAGACAGGUUUCUAAAGGCAAUAUGCUAAGGUGCAAACUCAAGCAUGAUGGCUCAUGCCUGUAAUCCUAGCACUUUGGGAUGCCAAUGCGGGUGGAUCACCUGAGGUUAAGAGUUCGAGACCAGGCUGGCCAACAUGGUGAAACCCCAUCUCUACUAAAAAUACAUAAAGUAGCCCGGUGUGGUGGUGGGCGCCUGUAAUCCCAGCUACUCGGGAGGCUGAAACAGAAGGAUCACUUGAACCCGGGAGGCAGAGGUUGCAAUGAGCCGAGAUCACGCCACUGCACUUCAGCCUGUGUGACAGGAGUGAAACUCCAUCUCAAAAAUAAAAACGAAAACAAUAACAACAACAGCAACAAAAAACCAUUGCAUUGUGCACAUUAAAUGAAUUGUAUGGUAUGUGAAUUCUAGCUCAAUAAAGCUUCUUAUGCUAAAACAUGACGAGGAAGAAGAGGAGGAGGAGAAGAGGCAAAGUCACUGGUGCCCAAGGAAUGGCACCAGGAGUGGUCUCCAGGAAGGCUGGCCACCUGUAGGGCUGGGAGAGCUCUGUGAUGCUGACAUCAGGGGCCUUCUUCAUGCCUGAGAAACAGGACAUGGGCUAAGGGCGGCUAACCAAGGCCUGGGAGAAUAUUGAGAGGUAAACAGGCGAUGUGGGUGUGGGGCGCUCAGCCUACUUGGCCAAAGGGUGAGUUCUUGCUAAUUUCACAGGGAGAGCCUGACUGGUCUCAAGCACCUGAGGCCCAGCAUGAGAAGUCAACAUCCCUGACUUCUCAUCCUCUAUAGAAAUUUCCCCCAGACCAGGCGCGGUGGCUCACGCCUGUAAUCCCAGCACUUUGGCAGGCCAAGGUGGGCGGAUCACCUGAAGUCAGGAGUUCAAGACCAGCCUGGCCAACACCGUGAAACCCCGUCUCUACUAAAAAUACAAAAAUUA
This 1643-nucleotide long non-coding RNA is filed under the name Homo sapiens (human). RNAcentral's name for it is "HSALNT0001511". Lineage: Eukaryota; Metazoa; Chordata; Mammalia; Primates; Hominidae. The record is from RNAcentral.